AAUGUAUACUAAAGUCAAACAACAAAAAACAUCAUGAAGAGAAGCAUUUUAAUUUCGAUGUCUUUUCUUUUUUUACUAUUUUUCUCUUCUUCUUCUUCUUCUUCUUCUUU
RNAcentral lists this non-coding RNA (110 nucleotides) under Picochlorum sp. RCC944. Lineage: Eukaryota; Viridiplantae; Chlorophyta; Trebouxiophyceae. The record is from RNAcentral.